This is a long non-coding RNA of Anser brachyrhynchus (Pink-footed goose), 1564 nucleotides long. NCBI's taxonomy places the organism in Eukaryota, Metazoa, Chordata, Aves, Anseriformes, Anatidae. The record is from Ensembl.
CAGAAUUGUCCAAAUGCUUCUUCAACUCCAGCUGACUCAGUGACUGGGAACCUGUCCCAGUGCCCGACCACCCUCUGGGUGCAGAACCUUUCCCUAACACCCACCCUGUCCCAGCCCCAUGCCGUUCCCUCGGGUCCUGUCGCUGUCCCCAGAGAGCAGAGCUCAGCGCCUGUCCCUCCGCUCCCCUCGUGAGGCAGCCGCAGGCCGCCAUGCGGUCUAGGCGCUCGCCCUUCCUGCCUGAGGCGCCGCCAUUUCACCGCCCUCCUCCGUCCCCAGCAGGUGUCACCCUGCCCCGCGCCACGGCCAUGGGCGGCGUUUGCAGCCUGCCGGCCGCCUGCCCCCGAGCAAGGGAGCUAAGCAGGUGCCUCGGCAUCUCCAGCGGAGAGAUCAGUUUCAGCUCUCCCUUGCUACCUUGACGCUGGAUAACAGGCUAAUGCUCCCUGAUGUGCCAAAUGUGUAGAGAACCAUUUGCAUAGGCCAUGCUCUACUGGAGGGGAUGAAACCUCAGAAGAACAGCAGGAAUGGUAAAUGCCUUAACCUUUUCCUCUUGACUCCCUCUCCCAUCCUGACAGCGUGACUGUGUUUACAAGGCAGAACUAAAACUUGGGACAACACAGAGCCAAUGGGUGUGGAACUCAUAUUCUCUGCAAAUGAUGCUGUGUAGCUGAAAGACCUUUGGCACCUUUCUAUGGUGAAGCUUUCAAGAGAAUUUCCUGCAGAAGGGAACUGCAAUGCUGUAAAUUAUACAUCCUGCAUGCUUAAUUUGCAUACUUCCAGGGGAGAAAAAAAAAAGAGAUUAAAAAAACUGCUUUAGGACAUUAUAAACUGCAUGUGUUUCAACAAUUUCACUAGCUCUAGCAUCAACAAAAAAUAUACAUAUAAAAAGAAAAAAAGGAAGAAAGGACUGCAGAGAACAACUUACAGAGGCUGGGGAUUACUGGAAGAAACAUGAAACCAUGAAAGGUGUGCAUGCCCACAUUUUCUGUAAUGUUCACUGCAACUGCAAAAUAAGCAACUGGCCACUCCUAAAUAUGACUAAUGGUUUAACAACUUAAUAACUUACUUCCACUGGAGUCUGUGAAAAUGAGAUCAGAACAAAACGCUCUUUAAUGCAGAAAUGCUCACGAUCUGCUGUCAACUGCAGCAAACUAUUUCAGCACGUGUGAGUCUAAGCGCACACAACUCUGUUGAAUGCAGAAUAACGCUAAAAGCUGCGUGCUCACACUGACUGCUUUGCUGAAGUAGGGUCUCCAUCUGUCUGCACAGAGCUGCACAUCCAAAGUCUUCACAACUUCACUUUGCAGCCAUUAGUUUGGGCCCCACGGGAAGCUAUUUAUAAAUAUCUGAAUUAAUUAAAUCAACUCUGUACAGCAGAAAAAGGAAUCAACUUAGUAUGGUCGCUAUGGCAACAAAUAUUUCCUGGAUGUAGUUUUGCUGCUAAUCAGCAAUGGCCUCCCCACAUUCCUAACGAUGGCAAAAGUUGUUGGGCUUCUUUUGUUUGUUUUGUAUUGAAUGCGUUCCUACAGAUUAAGACAAUAAAUGUGAUGUCUGAGUAUUUUAGACA